This is a long non-coding RNA of Zalophus californianus (California sea lion), 622 nucleotides long. RefSeq lists it as uncharacterized. The record is from RefSeq and is a predicted model, not a curated record. NCBI's taxonomy places the organism in Eukaryota, Metazoa, Chordata, Mammalia, Carnivora, Otariidae. The transcript has 3 exons.
CUCGGGAACCCUGGGGCUUGUAUCCACUCAGGAAUCAUGGGACCCUCCUUUCAGGCGGUGCCCGAGCUUGCUUUGGUCCAGACAUGUGGCUCGGAAACACAAGUGAGCCAGGAAGAAGAGGACUCCGACCAGUCCCAUUAAAUACUAAAAUGAAUGGGCAGAUGACAGAAAUGUAAUCUGAGGGUUGCAAGAUUUACGAGGAGGCAGCGCGCUCAGCAAAGUGGUGAUGAUUCCGGAGGACGAGGCGGAGACAGGAGACCCCACAACAGCGGUUUUCCUGGACCUGUGGCUUUGGAAGUGAAGGGGGCAAGGAGAAGAGACUGCUCACCAGGGAGCUUUGGGCCCACACCCUGUUCACGCUUACUGGUUAGGACAGCCGCAAGAAAGAACUAGAAUCAGGCACUCAGUCCAAGCGCAUCAGCAUCUACCAGGAACCAGGCACCCUGCAACGCUCACACGGAGCGCGGCGCAGGGGAGGGUGCGCACCAGUCAGUCCCCCCGCCCUGGAGCUGUGCGCGCCACGUGCCGCGCGGUACCCGGAAAACAGGCGACCCCAGGGCGACGGCGGGAAACAAACCCACACACAUCCAUAUGAUUUGGGAUCGGUCCUAUGAGAAGCGCA